This 434-nucleotide ribosomal RNA is filed under the name uncultured bacterium. RNAcentral's name for it is "partial 16S ribosomal RNA". It matches the Rfam family "Bacterial small subunit ribosomal RNA", at positions 29 to 507 of the family's 1533-position model. The record is from RNAcentral.
AGCGAACGCUGGCGGCAGGCCUAACACAUGCAAGUCGAACGAACGUAUCGGGGUUAGUGGCGGACGGGGGAGGCACACGGGGGAACGUGCAGUUAGGUACGGGAUAACACAGGGAAACUUGGGAUAAAGCAGAAUGAGCUAUGCGGGGGCAAGAUUCAGCGUAUUUAGAUAGGCCGGUGUUUGACUAGCCAGGUGGGUGAGGUAAUGGCGCAUCAGGGCGACGUUCAGCAGCUGGUCUGAGAGGAUGAUCCGCCACAUUUGGACUGAGACACGGACCAAACUCCUACGCGAUGCAGCAGUGCGUAAUCUUGCGCAACCGGCUAAAUCCUGACGCAGCCAGGCCUCGUGAACGAUGUUGUUCUUAGGAUUGUAAAAUUCUUUCACCCGGGACUAUAAUGACGGUACCCGGAGAAUAAGCCCCGGCUAACUUCGUG